GGGCGCAUGGCCUAAUGGUAAGGCGUUAGAUUUCGGUUCUACAUCAAUCUCUAAAGAUUGCAGGUUCGAUCCCUGCUGUGCUCG
Hypoxylon sp. FL1284 is the source of this 84-nucleotide non-coding RNA. Lineage: Eukaryota; Fungi; Ascomycota; Sordariomycetes; Xylariales; Hypoxylaceae. The record is from the annotation of a GenBank genome assembly.